GCCGGUGGUGGUAGACUUGCCCGAAUCUACGUGUCCGAUGACCACGAUGUUGAUGUGAGUCUUCUCCUUUCCCAUUUUGGCUUAGAUUUAGCGGUGGUUUUCACGACACCUAAGUUGGGGGGAAAAAACCCCACUUUUAAACUCCAUUCACAUAGAGAU
Molecule: non-coding RNA, 159 nt
Organism: Vicugna pacos (alpaca)
Lineage: Eukaryota; Metazoa; Chordata; Mammalia; Artiodactyla; Camelidae
Source: RefSeq, a predicted model, not a curated record